GAGUAGAAGAAAGGCCCAUACCAUAUUGAUGAACUAGUUCGGUCGGAUGAAACUCUGAUUUUCAAGACUUAGAACUCAAUAACUUAUGCAUUUAUCAUCUUUGGAUUGUAAUUUUUCAUUGAGUUAAAUAAUAAAAAAUAAUUUUUACAGAUCUACAUGUCAUUGUCUUGUUCUCCAUCAUGCGAUCCUCGAUCACGGUCG
RNAcentral lists this long non-coding RNA (201 nucleotides) under Elaeis guineensis (African oil palm). Its description in RNAcentral is "long non-coding RNA (EGUI_LNC013344)". Lineage: Eukaryota; Viridiplantae; Streptophyta; Magnoliopsida; Arecales; Arecaceae. The record is from RNAcentral.